Molecule: long non-coding RNA, 536 nt
Organism: Manacus vitellinus (golden-collared manakin)
Lineage: Eukaryota; Metazoa; Chordata; Aves; Passeriformes; Pipridae
Source: Ensembl
AGUCUGAAGAGCCUGACCCACCUUGAGGCCUUGGAAAACCUCACCAGCUAACGUGUUGCAGUAUUGCUUAGGGGUGAGCUGUGCUGAUGCCACUGCUGUACUCUUGCUGGUUUGGAGCAUGGGGUCUGCCUGGCCAGGUCUGGGAGGAGCUGGGAAGAUGGACUGGUUUGCAGUGCUGUUUGAAAGCAGCACAGACCCCUUUCCUAGCAGAAUGUUUAAUGGAAUCUGCUUCCUUGAAACCAAAAUGAGGCAACAGCUGUGAUUGCAGCAAGCUGUAACAUCUCAUUACUGGAUGGAGGCACGUCCUGUUACAAGUGGUGCUGCUGCAAAACCUCAGCAAAAGAACCUACUGAGACCUGCCUGGCUGGGGGCUGUGAACUCCCCUGAGGUGAGCUGAAGACCCAGCUUCACUUGGUUUCUUUGAAGAAAGAGCUGUACAUACUCCAGCCAACUUCAGUGAAGAGAAGCUUCAGUAAACCUAGACCUGAAUUUGAGAGAAUGUGGCUCAAUAGGUGGGUUUCUGUGAAAACUAAGUC